This 3774-nucleotide ribosomal RNA is filed under the name Triticum aestivum (bread wheat). RNAcentral's name for it is "partial small subunit ribosomal RNA". The record is from RNAcentral. Lineage: Eukaryota; Viridiplantae; Streptophyta; Magnoliopsida; Poales; Poaceae.
CUCCCACGAGUCAUAAAACCGAAAUCGCUAGAAGCAAAUUCCCCACAGCUUUCCUCCUCCCACCAGACGCCGCAGCCAUGGCUUCUGCCGAAACCCUAGCCCGCUCCCCAUCUCGCGAGCCCUCGUCCGACCCGCCCCGCGAUGCCUCGCGCGACGCCUCCUCCGAGCCCCACCACAACGGCUCAGCCAACGCCGCUGGCGACGGCGACUCGUCCUCCCGCCGCCGCCGCCGCAGCCGAUGGGAGCAGUCCAACGACGAAUCCGGUGCCAAUUCAGGCGGCGAGGGCGGCGCGGGAGGACGGAAGCGGAAGUCGCGCUGGGCCGAGGAGGAGCCCCGCCCGACCAUCGCACUUCCGGAUUUCAUGAAGGACUUCGCCGCCGAGAUGGAUCCCGAGGUGCACAACCUCAACUCGCGCCUCCUAGAGAUUUCGCGCCUGCUGCAGUCGGGGCUCCCCCUCGACGACCGUCCUGAGGGCGCGCGCUCGCCGUCCCCUGAGCCAAUAUACGAUAACCUGGGCAUCCGCAUCAACACCCGCGAAUACCGGGCGAGGGAGCGCCUUAACCGCGAGCGGCAGGAGAUCAUCUCCCAGCUGAUCCGCCGCAAUCCCGCCUUCAAGCCCCCGGCUGAUUACCGCCCACCCAAGCUCCAUAAGAAGCUCUACAUCCCCAUGAAGGAGUACCCUGGGUACAACUUUAUCGGGCUCAUUAUUGGGCCCCGUGGCAACACACAGAAGCGGAUGGAGAAGGAGACGGGGGCCAAGAUCGUAAUCCGAGGGAAGGGCAGCGUCAAGGAAGGGAAGUUGUUGCAGAAGAGGGACUUGAAGCCAGAUCCCAGUGAGAAUGAGGAUCUUCAUGUGCUUGUUGAGGCUGAUACCCAAGAAGCGUUGGAGGCUGCUGCAGGCAUGGUGGAGAAGCUGCUUACCCCUGUGGACGAAGUGCUAAAUGAGCACAAACGGCAGCAGCUGCGGGAGCUUGCAGCCCUGAACGGAACAAUCAGGGACGAUGAGUUUUGUAGGACUUGCGGGGAGCCGGGUCACCGACAGUAUGCAUGCCCGAACAGGACAACAACGUUUAAGAGCGAGGUGCAGUGUAAGAUCUGUGGCGAUGGUGGCCACCCGACAAUUGAUUGUCCAGUGAAGGGCACAUCUGGGAAGAAAAUGGACGAUGAGUACCAGAACUUCCUUGCUGAGCUUGGUGGGAGUGCACCUGAGUCCAUGAACAAGUCUGGUGGUCCGAUGCUGGCUAUAACAGGUGGUAGUGGUGGUGGCGGCGGCGGCAGUGGUAGCAACUCACCCUGGGCUGGGGGUAAUGGUGCAGCAACAACAGGAGCCAACGGGCUCAAGAAGGAUUAUGACGAGACCAAUCUUUAUAUUGGGUACUUGCCACCUAUGUUUGAUGAUUCAGGGCUGAUCAACCUAUUUUCACAAUUUGGGGAGAUUGUUAUGGCAAAGGUUAUAAAGGAUCGCAACACAGGGCAGAGUAAAGGGUAUGGAUUUGUGAAAUAUUCAGAUGUCUCACAGGCUAAUGCAGCUAUUGCUGCAAUGAGUGGUUACCAUCUUGAAGGGAGAACUAUUGCAGUCCGAGUUGCAGGCAAGCCACCACAGCCAGCUGCCCCCCCUGGUCCUCCAGCAGCGCCAGCACCACAGAUGUACCACUCUGCAGAUCCUUCUGCUGGUGGCUACAACUCGCAGCCCUACAUGGGAGGACAUCCACCACCACCAGCUCCUCCAGGUAGCUAUGCUCCAGUUCCUUGGGGACAACCACCACCUUAUGCUUCGUACCCUCCGCCGCCACCACCAGGCAUGUACAAUCCUGCACCUGGCCAAACUGCUCCACAUUCAUAUGGUAUGCAAUACCCACCACCACCAGCUCCAGUACCUCCACCAGGCACUACGUCAAAUGAUGGUGCACAGAACUACCCUCCGGGUGUAACACCACCAAGUUCUGGUGCACCUACCCAGCCUGUCCCUGCUCCAGCAUAUGGGACCUCUGGUGCGCAAAACAUGCCACAUAUGUACCCUCCACCACCUUAUGGUUAUGCCCCAUAUUAUCCAUCUGUCACACCAGUCCAGCCGCCUCCACCACCACCACCACCAGCUAGUGUUGAUCCUUCACAAAGCAUUGCAACUGCACCUUGGGCCACUCACAACGCACCUCCUCCACCGCCACCGCCGGCUAGUGUUGAUUCCUCGCAGAGCGUUGCAACGGCACCUUGGGCUACCCACAAUGCACCGCCGCCACCACCUUUGCCAUCCUCCAACGACCAGCCCACUCCUCCCUAUGGUGCUGAUGCAGAGUAUGAUAAAUUUAUGUCGGAGAUGAAGUGAUAUGAGCGAAGCUGAGGCACUUCUUUCAACACUGGGAAAGGCUUAAGGUUUCAUGGAGCUAAUGCGAACCUGAUUUAUUUGUUGUUGGAAGUUUGGGACUCAUAUCUUUAACCUUGCUGUGCUGUUAUGACCAUUGCAGACGUUGGAUGGUCGAGGAGGUUAAGCAUUACCGGCUCAUUGGGCAACAUGCAUUUGCUUUAUCUCCGUCUCCAGAACUAUUUGAAGGAACCCUUUACUAAUACUUCCGUUUUGUGUUACUCUUGUCAUAACUUGACAUUUGAUAUUUGUUGUCACUUUAAUGCUCUGUUGGCUGUGAUAUUAAUUUUAUUAUUAUUAUACUCUCACCUGUAUUAUUGAUGUUUCUCCCCCCUCCCCCCUUGAUUUGGUAAGCACUGGUGGUCUUCUUCGAUUGAAUACCGGUUCCCUCGAUUUUCUGCCCCCCUUGGUGGUUGGUAUAAUAAUAAUGUAUGACAUGUAUGUUUGCCUUCUGAUGAAUCUCUCAAGCUUUCCCACCUUACGUCUUUGCCUAAGUUGUUUGGCAGUUUGCUCCUGAUAGCUUGGCACAGGCAGGCAGAGUUAGUACCUUGAUUAACAGGUAUUGUUGAGCUGCUGUCACUUGUUCACUGUGGGAUCUACUAAUUUUCGAUAUGGUUUCCCAUUUCCAUUUUCUACUAACAAACAGUGACAACUUUCUCCCUUUUGGUAGUCUAUUGUGCAUUAAGGUAUCGAAGCAUACCAUCCAUGCUGGAAACUCAUGGAUACAGGGAUAUAUUUUCUGUUUGCUAACGCUCAUUCUAACAUGUUAAUAAGUAUUUCUUUGCAACUGAACUAUAGGACAUGCUGGCAAGCAGAUCAAAGUCAUUAUGGAGGAUAUGCUCAAGAUGCAUACUGACAUGAUUUUUAUGUUGUGAGCUCAUUUGAAGGUUUGGAAACCAGUUGGCUGAGAUCCAUAGUAGGUUUAGAUGUAUAAUAUAGAGAGGGAAGUAGGAGAUUCGGUAGCUAGUGGAAGAACAUAGUCUGGCGGCUUUGCCCCCAUCGUAGGCCACUCUAUUACGUACUGUUUUCAAAAAGUUAUGUUUUGAUGUGCUCUAGAGGGAAGGAAAAUAUUUGCUAGAAAGAUUUUUAACUUCCUUUGAUUAUGAUUAUUGUUCUUGUUAUAUUGAUGAAGGUUACUAUAUUAUGAAACUAAUUUAGGAUGAUUUACUAGUAAAUAUUAUUUUUUACACACAUUAAAACACGAGAGGAUACAACAAUGGGAAAUAUGCUGUGCACUUCUAUAUUUAGCACUUCAAUCUUUACCACCUCCAGUUUGCAAGAGUAGAUUGGCUAGUUUUUUUUGAGUGAGCUACCUGGAUUGUUUGCUUGGGAAAUGGCCUGCAACAGUUCUGCUGCUUAUCUUGUUUGUUGGCGUAAUAGGGUGUGUGUAGGCUGUGUUCUUUUAUAAGAG